CACAGAGAAGCACAGUCACCAGGAAUUAGAGCGGGCUCACAUCGCUGUGUGCUUGAACUGCACCAGAGGCUGCUGACUGAUGUCAGGUGUCAUAACCGGAAGAUCCAGCACUGCUCUGUUCUCUUCUUAUGUUGCAGGAUCAGUACAGUACAAGCUGAGUUGAAGCACAACUCCAUGGCAAUGAGGUGGUGUUGCAAGAUUUGCAGAUUUUCUUCACCAAACCAGCGUGUCCUAAUCACACACUACAAGCUGAAACACUGCCAUCAGGAAAGUCACUGUCCACUCCCAUGCAUCUAUAAAGACUGUGUAUGCACAUUUAUGAGUGAACUGUCUCCGAAGAAGCAUUUAACUCGUGACCAUAGUCAGUGUGUGGAAUCCUUGUGUGAAAUUGCUUUCUCCCCUCAAAAUGACAAUUCUUUGAUCAUUUACUCACUUUCAUGUUUGUCAAAACCUCUAUAACCUUUUUAUUCUAUAGAUCAUAAAACUAAUGAUAGUGAAAUGUUUUCUUACAAAAACAGAUCCAAGAUCCUGCAGAGAUUACCUUUUAACCCCAAUUAAAAACACCUAAACCAGCUAAUCCUGAUGUUCAGUAUCACUAUAAACUUCUCGGCAAUAUGUUGAAUCAGGUUGGAGUUAAACUCUGCAAUACAUUAUUGGCCCUCCAUAAGCAGGAUUAGACACCUCUUAUUUAGGUGGCAUAAGAAUGUUAGAUCCACUAUUAAAUCUUAUUUUGGUGCUGAACAAAAAAGGUAACAAACAACUGUUGUUGCAUCACAUCACUGGUUAUUUAUGUACAUCCGAAGUAUACAAGUGUAAAUGUGCAAAUUUGAAAUUUAUGCUUUUUGGAAAAAAUAAAACGAAUAAAAAUCAGGAUUGAAGGAACCAUUCUAUAUUUUACAGAAAACAAACCAUAGGAUGAGGACUGCAGCAUUGCUGGGCCUGCCGUGGUACAUGCGAGAAACUCCUUCAAAAUUCAUGAAGAUUUGCGUGGUAAAAUGAAACGUAUAAGGAAAAAUUGGACAUUAGAUCUCUUAAUUUGCAGGGGUCUGAGAACCUCCAUUCCAUUUUCUACCGCUUAUCCGAACUACCUCGGGUCACGGGGAGCCUGCGCCUAUCUCAGGAGUCAUCGGGCAUCAAGGCAGGAUACACCCUGGAUGGAGUGCCAACCCAUCGCAGGGCACACACACUCACUCACUCAUUCACUCACUCAUUCACUCACACCCUACGGACAAUUUUUCCAGAGAUGCCAAUCGACAUACCAUGCAUGUCUUUGGACCAGGGGAGGAAACCGGAGUACCCGGAGGAAACCCCCGAGGCACGGGGAGAACAUGCAAACUCCACACACACAAGUCGGAAGCGGGAAUUUUUAUGAAAGAUGAUGAGAUGACUUUCCUUGUGACUCCCCGCCCCUCGGUGUAUUUGCAUGAUUAUGGACUUUAUGAGAUUUUGCCUGCGACAAAGGAAUUAAUUUGUGUAAAUGCUGAGGAAUGUCUGGAUUAUUAUCCCUUAAAUGAGUACAGUUUUAUGGGACUGAAGGUCAUUACUCUGAAGCACAGCGUUGUUCAUCUCUAAAAAGGAUAAACUGUCCUCUCCCAACCGAAAUGGAUGCAUUGUUGACUUUUAUUGAGAAUGUGUUCCCAAACCCUAUAACUUGAAAGCUGGCCAUAGAGGGUUUGAACAGCCUAGGUGUGGAGACCAUAGAUGACCUACAGUUUUUGAAAGAUGAUGAUCUAGGUGGCUUCCUGAGACCGAUUGAAGCAAGAAAACUAAUAGCCCAAAUCCCAAAUAUUGCUUCCACUCCUCAAAACACUGCCAAUGAUUUGUCUGCUGAAUACACUUCUGAUGCAUCAGGUCACCUGCUCCUGGAUGCUCAAUUUCACCAUCCAGCUCUUCAAGUGGAAGACGUGACAGUAGCUGUGAAACUUCGUUUUAUGACCAUGACUGGCAUUAUAGUUUUGAUGUUCCAUGGCAAAAAAUCCCUGCAAGUUUUAUGGAAAAGUUGCAAAAUGGCGAAAGGCCAAGUUGCUCUGAGAGAAGACACUUGGUCCGCAUUGUUGCUUCUGAGAUCCUGGAAGUCAGCAAAUGUCCAGCAAAAAACAUGUAUCAGAAAUAGCCCGUCAAAUGGUGAUUGCAUACCCAUAGUCCUUCAGAGAUGAGAUUAAUUCCCAGGUUGUAGGAAGUGGAUAUGAUUCUCUCCUCAAACAACUGGUGUGUAGAAUUUACUAUUUUAAAAGAGCAAAAGCUAUUAGUACACCACUUUGUGGUACUCUAGAAGUAUCAACAAAGAAACUAAAAUUGUUAUAUGGUUGUAUUAAUUCUGAUCCACAACUGCUAGUUGGAGAAACAUCCGAAUUGCAGCAGGAAAAGAAAGAGAAGUUGCUAGUAAUGUUUCAAAAUAAUGAAAGUGAUGUAAAGACAAUCUAUGGCUUAAUGACUUCUACUUACACCUCUCAAAGAAACAACAUCCAAUCUGGAAAGGAAACCAAAGAUUUACUUGAUGAGUGGCCAUAUCUUUUUCAGCCAGCAGGAAUGAAAGCACACUUUAAAGAGCUCACUGGCAUUGACAUAAACAACAGCUUUGAAGAAUCUGCUUCCAGUAAGUUCAUAAGAAUAUUGGAGUACUUUCAAUUUCAGUGCACAGAAAAAGCAAGCAGAGCAGGGAGAAUCCUCACAAAAUAUAGAGCUGGAGGGAAUCAUGUUUGUGGGGCAGUGAUGUUGCUGCUAACCCAUUUAAAAAAUGACCAAGACCACUUUCUUGUGAUGGUAGAAGACACCUCUGUUCCAAGUGAUGUAUGCUCAGAACAGCUUCCAGCAACACCAUGUAUAGUAGUGUGUGGAGAGAACCUACUGACAGUCAGUGUGUACAUGGUAGCAGUAGACCAGAUGAUUGUAAAUGACCAUCUCUUGAGUUUUACAGAAGCCCUGUAUCUGAUGUUCUCUCUUUACUAUAUGUUAAAAAUCAGUUACCCUGUAGAACUGGGAGCCACACUAGAAUUCUUGCAAAGGUGCAUCUUUAGGAUAAAUCCUCAUAAAGGUACCAAGGUGGAAAAGAGAGAGAAAAAGAGAGCGUAGUCUGUCAACCCCAGAGUAUUGAGUCUGACGUCAAAAAUUGCUGCAUUUGACUGGGGAGAGUAACAGAUGUGGUCUUUCAGAAGAUUGACAUUUCGCUGAAGAACAGGACAGACCGACUUUUUGUUCAUUUUGUGAUGUGAUAAACUCCAAAAUUAUCAGAGUCCAGGCCCAGUGUUUUUGUUUAUUUUAAAUUGAACACAUUUGUGUUAUGAAACAUGCUUUAUCCAUUUUCCCCAUGUGACAUGUUCAGAAUUAUCAGAAUCCAGGUCGACUUUUUUUUUAAUUGAACAAAUUUGUGUUCUAA
Long non-coding RNA from Triplophysa dalaica, 3376 nucleotides. RefSeq lists it as uncharacterized. NCBI's taxonomy places the organism in Eukaryota, Metazoa, Chordata, Actinopteri, Cypriniformes, Nemacheilidae. The transcript has 7 exons. The record is from RefSeq and is a predicted model, not a curated record.